RNAcentral lists this small RNA (127 nucleotides) under Salmonella enterica. Its description in RNAcentral is "partial RtT sRNA". It matches the Rfam family "RtT RNA". Rfam says of the family: This family represents a bacterial cis-regulatory element known as RtT RNA. The exact function of RtT is unknown although it is thought that it may be involved in changing the cellular response in relation to amino acid starvation. Lineage: Bacteria; Pseudomonadati; Pseudomonadota; Gammaproteobacteria; Enterobacterales; Enterobacteriaceae. The record is from RNAcentral.
CUCCGUACGGGGAAGGAUGAGAAGCUUCGACUAAGGUUCGAUUCGAGCGAAAGCGAGAAAGCGUUGCCAACGGCAACGACCCGAAGGGCGAAGCGCGCAGCGCUGAGUAAUCCUUCCCCCACCACCA